RNAcentral lists this ribosomal RNA (497 nucleotides) under uncultured bacterium. Its description in RNAcentral is "partial 16S ribosomal RNA". It matches the Rfam family "Bacterial small subunit ribosomal RNA", at positions 28 to 507 of the family's 1533-position model. The record is from RNAcentral.
GAUGAACGCUGGCGGCGUGCCUAAUACAUGCAAGUCGAGCGAACAGAUGAGGAGCUUGCUCCUCUGACGUUAGCGGCGGACGGGUGAGUAACACGUGGAUAACCUACCUAUAAGACUGGGAUAACUUCGGGAAACCGGAGCUAAUACCGGAUAAUAUAUUGAACCGCAUGGUUCAAUAGUGAAAGACGGUUUUGCUGUCACUUAUAGAUGGAUCCGCGCCGCAUUAGCUAGUUGGUAAGGUAACGGCUUACCAAGGCAACGAUGCGUAGCCGACCUGAGAGGGUGAUCGGCCACACUGGAACUGAGACACGGUCCAGACUCCUACGGGAGGCAGCAGUAGGGAAUCUUCCGCAAUGGGCGAAAGCCUGACAGUGCAACGCCGCGUGAGUGAUGAAGGUCUUCGGAUCGUAAAACUCUGUUAUUAGGGAAGAACAAAUGUGUAAGUAACUAUGCACGUCUUGACGGUACCUAAUCAGAAAGCCACGGCUAACUACGUG